UGCAUCAGAUACGCCAGCAGGCGAUAUUCGUGCGACGUCAUCUUGAUGGGAUUGCCGUUGACGCUGACGCGGUUGGUGCGCGUAUCCAGCAUCACCGGCCCGCAGGUCAGUUCGGACUGGGCAUGGCCUGCCGUCCGGCGCAGCAGCGCGCGAAUGCGGGCGAGAACCUCUUCGAGAUGAAACGGCUUGGCGACAUAAUCGUCGGCGCCGGCAUCGAAGCCCUGCACCUUGUCGCUCCAGCGGUCCCGCGCG
This 252-nucleotide unclassified non-coding RNA is filed under the name Hevea brasiliensis (rubber tree). Lineage: Eukaryota; Viridiplantae; Streptophyta; Magnoliopsida; Malpighiales; Euphorbiaceae. The record is from RNAcentral.